AUGCACGCUGGCGGCGUGCCUAAUACAUGCAAGUCGAGCGAACAGAUAAGGAGCUUGCUCCUUUGAAGUUAGCGGCGGACGGGUGAGUAACACGUGGGUAACCUACCUAUAAGACUGGGAUAACUUCGGGAAACCGGAGCUAAUACCGGAUAACAUUUAGAACCGCAUGGUUCUAAAGUGAAAGAUGGUUUUGCUAUCACUUAUAGAUGGACCCGCGCCGUAUUAGCUAGUUGGUAAGGUAACGGCUUACCAAGGCGACGAUACGUAGCCGACCUGAGAGGGUGAUCGGCCACACUGGAACUGAGACACGGUCCAGACUCCUACGGGAGGCAGCAGUAGGGAAUCUUCCGCAAUGGGCGAAAGCCUGACGGAGCAACGCCGCGUGAGUGAUGAAGGGUUUCGGCUCGUAAAACUCUGUUAUUAGGGAAGAACAAAUGUGUAAGUAACUGUGCACAUCUUGACGGUACCUAAUCAGAAAGCCACGGCUAACUACGUG
Molecule: ribosomal RNA, 496 nt
Filed under: uncultured bacterium
Lineage: Bacteria
Description: partial 16S ribosomal RNA
Rfam family: Bacterial small subunit ribosomal RNA
Source: RNAcentral